Molecule: ribosomal RNA, 252 nt
Filed under: uncultured bacterium
Lineage: Bacteria
Description: partial 16S ribosomal RNA
Rfam family: Bacterial small subunit ribosomal RNA
Source: RNAcentral
UACGUAGGUGGCGAGCGUUGUCCGGAUUUACUGGGCGUAAAGGGUGCGUAGGCGGACGCUUAAGUCAGCGGUAAAAUUGCGGGGCUCAACCUCGUCGAGCCGUUGAAACUGGGUGCCUUGAGUGGGCGAGAAGUACGCGGAAUGCGUGGUGUAGCGGUGAAAUGCAUAGAUAUCACGCAGAACUCCGAUUGCGAAGGCAGCGUACCGGCGCCCAACUGACGCUGAAGCACGAAGGCGUGGGUAUCGAACAGG